Molecule: ribosomal RNA, 486 nt
Filed under: uncultured bacterium
Lineage: Bacteria
Description: partial 16S ribosomal RNA
Rfam family: Bacterial small subunit ribosomal RNA
Source: RNAcentral
AUUGAACGCUGGCGGCAUGCCUUACACAUGCAAGUCGAACGGCAGCACGGGUGCUUGCCCCUGGUGGCGAGUGGCGAACGGGUGAGUAAUACAUCGGAACAUGUCCUGUAGUGGGGGAUAGCCCGGCGAAAGCCGGAUUAAUACCGCAUACGAUCUACGGAUGAAAGCGGGGGACCUUCGGGCCUCGCGCUAUAGGGUUGGCCGAUGGCUGAUUAGCUAGUUGGUGGGGUAAAGGCCUACCAAGGCGACGAUCAGUAGCUGGUCUGAGAGGACGACCAGCCACACUGGGACUGAGACACGGCCCAGACUCCUACGGGAGGCGGCAGUGGGGAAUUUUGGACAAUGGGCGAAAGCCUGAUCCAGCAAUGCCGCGUGUGUGAAGAAGGCCUUCGGGUUGUAAAGCACUUUUGUCCGGAAAGAAAUCCUUGGCCCUAAUACGGUCGGGGGAUGACGGUACCGGAAGAAUAAGCACCGGCUAACUACGUG